UUGCCAGACUCCUACGGGAGGCAGCAGUGGGGAAUAUUGGGCAAUGGGCGCAAACCUGACCCAGCAACGCCGCGUGAAGGAAGAAGGCUUUCGGGUUGUAAACUUCUUUUAAGAGGGAAGAGCAGAAGACGGUACCUCUUGAAUAAGCCACGGCUAACUACGUGCCAGCAGCCGCGGUAAUACGUAGGUGGCAAGCGUUGUCCGGAUUUACUGGGUGUAAAGGGCGUGUAGCCGGGCUGACAAGUCAGAUGUGAAAUUCCGGGGCUCAACCCCGGACCUGCAUUUGAAACUGUUGGUCUUGAGUAUCGGAGAGGCAGGCGGAAUUCCUAGUGUAGCGGUGAAAUGCGUAGAUAUUAGGAGGAACACCGGCGGCGAAGGCGGCCUGCUGGACCGUAACUGACGUUGAGGCUCGAAAGCGUGGGGAGCAAACAGGAUUAGAUACCCUUGUAAU
RNAcentral lists this ribosomal RNA (451 nucleotides) under uncultured bacterium. Its description in RNAcentral is "bacterial SSU rRNA". It matches the Rfam family "Bacterial small subunit ribosomal RNA", at positions 328 to 794 of the family's 1533-position model. The record is from RNAcentral.